UAAUAGAUCGUUUACGUGAGGGAUAGUAGCGAAAAGCCCGCAGCGAGGAACGAGCGAGGACUUGUAGCGGAUAGCCCGACCCGUU
This 85-nucleotide unclassified non-coding RNA is filed under the name Flavobacterium micromati. RNAcentral describes it as "Flavo-1 RNA". Lineage: Bacteria; Pseudomonadati; Bacteroidota; Flavobacteriia; Flavobacteriales; Flavobacteriaceae. The record is from RNAcentral.